UACGAGGGGUGCAAGCGUUGCUCGGAAUUAUUGGGCGUAAAGGGUAGGUAGGUGGUCUCAUUUGUCUGGGGUGAAAGCCUUGAGCUUAACUCAAGAAGUGCCCCAGAAACGGUGAGACUGGAGUCCUGGAGAGGUGAGUGGAAUUCCCGGUGUAGCGGUGAAAUGCGUAGAGAUCGGGAGGAACACCAGAGGCGAAGGCGGCUCACUGGACAGGUACUGACACUCAACUACGAAAGCGUGGGGAGCAAACAGG
RNAcentral lists this ribosomal RNA (253 nucleotides) under uncultured bacterium. RNAcentral's name for it is "partial 16S ribosomal RNA". It matches the Rfam family "Bacterial small subunit ribosomal RNA", at positions 524 to 776 of the family's 1533-position model. The record is from RNAcentral.